AACGAACGCUGGCGGCAUGCUUAACACAUGCAAGUCGAGCGCGAACCAAGGGCUUGCUCUUGGGGAAAGCGGCGCACGGGUGAGUAACGCGUGGAUAACGUACCCUAGGGUUGGGGAUAACCUGCCGAAAGGCGGGCUAAUACCGAAUAUGUUCUUUGAAAGGAUUGCUUUUAAAGAGUAAAGCAGGGCAACUUGCGCCCAAGGAUCGGUCCGCGUCCUAUCAGCUUGUUGGCGGGGUAAUGGCCCACCAAGGCGAAGACGGGUAACUGGUCUGAGAGGACGACCAGUCACACUGGGACUGAGAUACGGCCCAGACUCCUACGGGAGGCAGCAGUCGAGAAGCUUCGGCAAUGGACGAAAGUCUGACCGAGCGACGCCGCGUGAGCGAUGAAGGCCCUAGGGUCGUAAAGCUCUGUCAGGAGGGAAUAAAUACCUGCGAUCAAUGCCCGCAGGGGCUGAAGGUACCUCCAGAGGAAGCGCCGGCUAACUACGUG
Molecule: ribosomal RNA, 494 nt
Filed under: uncultured bacterium
Lineage: Bacteria
Description: bacterial SSU rRNA
Rfam family: Bacterial small subunit ribosomal RNA
Source: RNAcentral